This 33-nucleotide ribosomal RNA is filed under the name Candida albicans. Its description in RNAcentral is "partial 28S ribosomal RNA". RNAcentral also lists the same sequence under 4 other names. The record is from RNAcentral. Lineage: Eukaryota; Fungi; Ascomycota; Pichiomycetes; Serinales; Debaryomycetaceae.
UUUGACCUCAAAUCAGGUAGGACUACCCGCUGA